Molecule: ribosomal RNA, 253 nt
Filed under: uncultured bacterium
Lineage: Bacteria
Also listed under: 1 other name
Description: partial 16S ribosomal RNA
Rfam family: Bacterial small subunit ribosomal RNA
Source: RNAcentral
UACGGAGGGUGCAAGCGUUGUUCGGAAUUACUGGGCGUAAAGCGCGCGUAGGCGGUUUGUUAAGUCAGAUGUGAAAGCCCAUGGCUCAACCAUGGACGUGCAUUUGAAACUGGCAGACUUGAGUAUUGGAGGGGGUGGUGGAAUUCCCGGUGUAGAGGUGAAAUUCGUAGAUAUCGGGAGGAAUACCGGUGGCGAAGGCGACCACCUGGCCAAAUACUGACGCUGAGGUGCGAAAGCGUGGGGAGCAAACAGG